ACUCAGUCCACGAGGAGGAGAAAAAGAAUCAACUUUCCAGAUAGGGAUCUCGUUUUUCUUCAAAUAGAUUGAGGGAAAAAUGGAAGAAAAGUCGAAGGGAAGAAGAAAAAAUGAUUUAACUUUUCAAGGUAUUUUGUGUUAAGCUUAUUGCUGGUAGUGAUAGGAGGGAAGCUGCUCACUAGCUUUAAG
Molecule: non-coding RNA, 189 nt
Organism: Coffea arabica (coffee)
Lineage: Eukaryota; Viridiplantae; Streptophyta; Magnoliopsida; Gentianales; Rubiaceae
Source: RefSeq, a predicted model, not a curated record